Camelus dromedarius (Arabian camel) is the source of this 2344-nucleotide long non-coding RNA. RefSeq lists it as uncharacterized. The transcript has 5 exons. NCBI's taxonomy places the organism in Eukaryota, Metazoa, Chordata, Mammalia, Artiodactyla, Camelidae. The record is from RefSeq and is a predicted model, not a curated record.
AAAGUAAAUCAUCCCCCAAUUUCCAACUGUAGUUUUAUUAUUGGAUAACUCAGUGUAUAUUAAUACUGUGCAACGUAAAACACAAUUAGGCUCUAGUCUCAGGAACCUGAGCAUAGGUUUUUCACUUGCACCCAUGUCUGGUGGGACCUCCAAGUCAUGUGGGACACAGGACAAUUCUUUGUUGUGACCAUUGUCUCACGUGCUCUAGAAUGAACAGCUGCAUCUCUGCCCCGACCAGCAAAUGCCAGUGGUGCUUCCUGAUCAUUGACACAACCCAAAAAUGUUCCCUCAAGCUUCCCGACACUCCCACUGAGAACCACUGACCCAGAAGUACUGAGGAAGAAGAGCAACUGUGGGCAGAGGCUUCCAGAAGCUCACUGCAUCAGAGCCCACUGCCGGGGCAGGAGGCUCAUUUCCCUGGGAAGGAGCCGCAGCCAGGUUGCAUCCACUAAGCCGAGUUUGCAAAUCCAUGAAUGCUGAGCGGACACAAAUGCUUUGGGCUCUGUAUCGCAAAGGAGACAGAAACUACAGGCUUUUCCAAGAUAAGACAUCUUCAUGAUACUGCUUGAGACAUACUGAUACAUCCGUCUAGGCACAGAUUAGCACCAGGGAUGUUUUUACUCCGUCAGUUGGGACCAAGUUUGCGGUCUUGCUCUUGCUCAUCCUGGGGAAGAGGAAGAAGCAGCCAGAACACGGAGACAGCCUGUGCAGCCAUGCCCUGGGUCAGUGACUGCCUGCUGCAGCCCUUCACAGGCAUCAUGGAGGACCCACUGCGUGCCGCGAACUCCUCCGGGCCUGAGAAUGCAGGAGAGACGAAGCAGAGCAGGCGGUGGACUGGAGUAUCAGGACCUCACGACCUUGUGGCUUCUGAUGAGAAUGGUGACAUCUUGAAGGAAUCACUGUGUGCACACUUCCGUUCCAUGAGGUGUCUUUCUGCACUGCAGGCAGCUCGGAUUAAGAAACUGAGGCUCGGAAAAAUGAAGUGACUUACCUCAGCAUGGGAGGAAAAACCGAGUCCUGUGCCUACAGACCACAGCGCACCACAUCUCUGGUGCCGGGGGUGAGAGAUACUUCUGCUUUCACACAAGGCUCUCGGGCCUCCUCUGGAGAGCACACCCAAUACCCUUGCCUGAUGAGGUUGGAUGGCUUUCUUCUGGAAUAGAAAAGCCAGGUAUGAUGCACUGCUGCCUUCAUCACGUGAGGGCAGGGAGACCUGCAGGACACAUCUGUCUUUCCUAAGCACAAACCGAGAGUCUAGAUGAGAGUGAUGAAGAUAAAUGCUUUCCUGGAACUGAAUUUUGGAGGAGCACUGCUUCUUUCCUUUGACUUUAACUCACAAUUCCGCUUCCAAAAAGAUGUUCUCGAACCAAAUUCUGCCAAGCUUCCUUCAAGGUGUUUUGUUUAACAAGGAGAGGAUAUGGCAUAGAUCUCUCCACAAGGUGUACAUAUCAAGAGAAAAAAUUAAAUAGGAUCCCUUCUCUAGAGGCAUGAAGACUUUUUAUGGAAAAGGCAAAGUCUGUUGUGCCCUUGGACUCUAAGGAAAUCACUCUUGAGUUGUUCACCUUGCAGUUUGUGUGGGGCUUUCGACCCACCAGAAGCCACUGCUUUCGUACUAAAGAUGCUACUGUGGCUUCCGCUCUUCCUCCAUCCUGGAGUGGUGUGGCAUUUCUCUAUCCUGGUCCAGAUGUCUUGGGACUGAGCAAAUCUUGCUGACUUCACUGCCCCCUGCAAAGACUCCCAGCAUGUCUGCAUGAGGGGAAACGACAAUGGCUAACAAUUGCUUCCAUCCUUUCGCCCUCCGGAAUUCUGCAAGAAGUUUACUCUGGCAGCACAUAGAACCACUUCAUUUCCUUAUCUCACUGCUCUCUGUAGAAGACGCUGGGGAGACUCUGACCUCCUCCCAGAGCUGGAACUGUAAACCCAAUCAGAGAGGAGUUCUCACCUACUGAAUUGUCUUGAACAGAACUUUGGAAAUGGUACACUUACAAUGAGCUGAUGGAUUGGGGGAUAAGAUAGUCAAGAAGCGGGUCCCUCUAGUUCCAAAGGCUCUUGGGUCACUAUUAACCAAAAGCAUGGCUUGUCAGUGUUUUUAUAUGGUUGUGUCUUUUAUUUCCUGUAAGUAUGUAAGUCUCAGAUCGGUGACGGUUUAGUAUUUACCUUUCUUAUUCUUUGUGGAAAUUUUCUCAUCUACACCUGAAAUUCUCUGGAACAUGCAGGCUUCCAGGAGCAUGGGCUUACAGAGACUCUGCCAUGUUCAGUGUGCAGCUUCUGAGGUCGCCCUGGACAUGAAUACCGGAGGGGUAUUCCGGAGGGGCUGGUAAAUGGAGAAGAGAAACAUAGAAGA